This is a long non-coding RNA of Oncorhynchus tshawytscha (Chinook salmon), 589 nucleotides long. The record is from Ensembl. Lineage: Eukaryota; Metazoa; Chordata; Actinopteri; Salmoniformes; Salmonidae.
CCCAGGACAUCUCAGACAAGCCCAGGACAGCUCAGACAAGCCCAGGACAGCUCAGACACGCCCAGGAUAAAUCAGACAUUCCCAGGACAGCUCAGACAGGCCCAGGGCCCAGGACAUGUCAGACAAGCCCAGGACAGCUCAGACAAGCCAAUGAUAGCUCAGACAAGCCCAGGACAGCUCAUACAGACCCAGGACAGCUCAGACAGGCCCAGGACAGCUCAGACAUACCCAGGACAGCUCAGACAGGCCCAGGACAGCUCAGACAGAACCAGGACAGCUCAGACAGGCCCAGGACCAAGGACAGCUAAGACAAGCCCAGGAUAGCUCAGACAGGCCCAGGACAGCUCAGACAGUCACAGGGCCCAGGACAGCUUAAUUAGGCCCAGGACAGCUCAGACAGGCCCAGGACAGCUCAGGAAGGCCCAGGACAGCUCAUACAGGCCCAGGACAGCUCAGACAGGCCCAGGACAGCUCAGACAGUCACAGGGCCCAGGACAGCUUAAUUAGGCCCAGGACAGCUCAGACAGGCCCAGGACAGCUCAGGAAGGCCCAGGACAGCUCAUACAGGCCCAGGACAGCUCAGACAGGC